Molecule: ribosomal RNA, 579 nt
Filed under: uncultured bacterium
Lineage: Bacteria
Description: bacterial SSU rRNA
Rfam family: Bacterial small subunit ribosomal RNA
Source: RNAcentral
CCUACGGGAGGCAGCAGUGGGGAAUCUUGCGCAAUGGCCUAACGGCUGACGCAGCGACGCCGCGUGUGGGAUGAAGCUCCUCGGAGUGUAAACCACUGUUGCCCGGGACGAAUAGCUCGAUUAGUCGAGCCUGACGGUACCGGGUGAGGAAGCACCGGCUAACUCCGUGCCAGCAGCCGCGGUAAUACGGGGGGUGCGAGCGUUGUCCGGAAUCACUGGGCGUAAAGGGCGCGUAGGUGGUUUGAUAAGGGUGUGGUGAAAGUCCGGGGCUCAACCCCGGAUCUGCCGUGCCGACUGUCAAACUCGAGGACUGUAGAGGCAGACGGAAUUCCGGGUGUAGCGGUGGAAUGCGUAGAGAUCCGGAGGAAGACCGGUGGCGAAGGCGGUCUGCUGGGCAGUUUCUGACACUGAGGCGCGACAGCGUGGGGAGCAAACAGGAUUAGAUACCCUGGUAGUCCACGCCGUAAACGAUGGGUACUAGGUGCCUGGGGGAGCGACCCUCUGGGUGCCGGCGCUAACGCAGGAAGUACCCCGCCUGGGGAGUACGACCGCAAGGUUGAAACUCAAAGGAAUUGACGG